GACACGUCACUAAAUCGGACGCAUAGACUGACCUCAAGUGGUCAGAUCUACUUUCCUCGAGUGGCGCUCAUUGUCCAUUAACAGCAAGGGCCAACGGCAGAAACGCACAUAAUAACCAGCCUUCUGGUUUCUUUCUCUCGCGAACGCUGCUUUUCUCCACAAAUACCAGACCAAAAUACAGACAGUUCCCUCAAACUAUUUUUCUUUAUUCUAACAACGACAAAGCCUUUAUCCAUGUUCAACUUGUGGAUGGUAUAAGGUUAAACUUCCAUCCGUUUAGAGAUACUUUGGUACGGAAGGGCAGAAGGUACAAGUCGAACCGUUAUUAGUAAUCGCUUUCUGUCAGGUCGGGUGUGUUUGCGCCACACGGGGACGCCAAUGGUCUGUUUGAGUGGCAAGGAGGACCAAUCUUUAGGAUUUAUCUGAUAACUUAUUACAACAAAUAAAUCGAAGCUACAACAGAUCAAACAUGAAAUAAGUAAAAUGCCUUAUUCUUUUUCUUUAAGAAAUUAAAAUACAAUGCUUUUUCUUUUUUUACCUCCAGGACCUUACAUUUUAAUUAAUGUGCGGCUUGCUCUGCAAGGCCGUUUUUCCGUUGAGAAAGUCGGCUUUGAGACCCACAACCCGUAUCUUAUAUUCAUGAGUCUGUACUGUCUUUACAACUUAUGCGGAAAGAAAAAGUCACAAAGUCCAAAUCCAAAACCUGAAACUUGACAACGUUCUGUGCCAACCAAUUUGCAUGGGAAACCAGUCUUACCUGCCAACGCCCACAGAGAAACAGCCUGCCUACAAAUAUGUGUCUCACAGUCCCUUCACUGUGUUCCCUAACGGCGGUGAGUAGCACGACAGAAGGUCUGGAGGUCGGCCUGGACCAGGAACACACACCCGAUGGACUCCAAUCCACACUCAUCCGGGCCCGAUUUGGGAGGGCGACUACGGCUGGAGGGAUUCCCCUCAGGUUCUAUGGAAACCCUGGCCAAUCCCGGGACCCCUUGCAGCACCCUGGAUGGAGAGAAACACAACCAUGAACAUGGAGAAUGUGGUUUUUCAUUAGACAGCUCUCUGUCCUCAGAAGACAGUGACCAGGAGUGUGUCAGUAAGAAGCAGAAGAAAAAGAAGAAGCUGACAAAGAAAAAGAAGAAGGAUUCCAGUUCAUCGUCUUCAUCGUCGUCCUCCUCUUCCUCCUCUUCUUCCUCCUCCUCUUCCUCAUCUUCAUCCUCCUCAAGCAGCUCGUCAGACAGCGACAGUGAGGUAAUGUCGGACACAGCUAAAUGCAUGUGCUACAAGGAAUAA
This 1293-nucleotide long non-coding RNA is filed under the name Gadus morhua (Atlantic cod). RNAcentral's name for it is "lncRNA (ENSGMOG00000023905.1)". Lineage: Eukaryota; Metazoa; Chordata; Actinopteri; Gadiformes; Gadidae. The record is from RNAcentral.